RNAcentral lists this ribosomal RNA (161 nucleotides) under uncultured bacterium. RNAcentral describes it as "partial 16S ribosomal RNA". It matches the Rfam family "Bacterial small subunit ribosomal RNA", at positions 355 to 509 of the family's 1533-position model. The record is from RNAcentral.
UGAGGAAUUUUGCGCAAUGGGAGCAAUCCUGACGCAGCAACGCCGCGUGGGUGAUGAAGGCCUUGGGUCGUAAGCCCUGUCAGGUGGGAAGAAUGUCCUGGAAUUGAACAAGUUUCGGGAGUGACGGUACCACCAGAGGAAGCACCGGCUAACUCCGUGCC